Molecule: ribosomal RNA, 492 nt
Filed under: uncultured bacterium
Lineage: Bacteria
Description: partial 16S ribosomal RNA
Rfam family: Bacterial small subunit ribosomal RNA
Source: RNAcentral
AGUGAACGCUGGCGGUAGGCCUAACACAUGCAAGUCGAACGGCAGCACAGUAAGAGCUUGCUCUUACGGGUGGCGAGUGGCGGACGGGUGAGGAAUACAUCGGAAUCUACUUUUUCGUGGGGGAUAACAUAGGGAAAUUUACGCUAAUACCGCAUACGACCUACGGGUGAAAGCAGGGGAUCUUCGGACCUUGCGCGAUUGAAUGAGCCGAUGUCGGAUUAGCUAGUUGGCGGGGUAAAGGCCCACCAAGGCGACGAUCCGUAGCUGGUCUGAGAGGAUGAUCAGCCACACUGGAACUGAGACACGGUCCAGACUCCUACGGGAGGCAGCAGUGGGGAAUAUUGGACAAUGGGCGCAAGCCUGAUCCAGCCAUACCGCGUGGGUGAAGAAGGCCUUCGGGUUGUAAAGCCCUUUUGUUGGGAAAGAAAAGCAGCAGGUUAAUACCCCGCUGUUCUGACGGUACCCAAAGAAUAAGCACCGGCUAACUUCGUG